Molecule: ribosomal RNA, 486 nt
Filed under: Salmonella enterica subsp. enterica serovar Braenderup
Lineage: Bacteria; Pseudomonadati; Pseudomonadota; Gammaproteobacteria; Enterobacterales; Enterobacteriaceae
Description: partial 23S ribosomal RNA
Rfam family: Bacterial large subunit ribosomal RNA
Source: RNAcentral
AAUCCAUAGGUUAAUGAGGCGAACCGGGGGAACUGAAACAUCUAAGUACCCCGAGGAAAAGAAAUCAACCGAGAUUCCCCCAGUAGCGGCGAGCGAACGGGGAGGAGCCCAGAGCCUGAAUCAGCAUGUGUGUUAGUGGAAGCGUCUGGAAAGGCGCGCGAUACAGGGUGACAGCCCCGUACACAAAAGCGCAUGUGCUGUGAGCUCGAUGAGUAGGGCGGGACACGUGGUAUCCUGUCUGAAUAUGGGGGGACCAUCCUCCAAGGCUAAAUACUCCUGACUGACCGAUAGUGAACCAGUACCGUGAGGGAAAGGCGAAAAGAACCCCGGCGAGGGGAGUGAAAAAGAACCUGAAACCGUGUACGUACAAGCAGUGGGAGCACCCUUUUGGGUGUGACUGCGUACCUUUUGUAUAAUGGGUCAGCGACUUAUAUUCUGUAGCAAGGUUAACCGCAUAGGGGAGCCGGAGGGAAACCGAGUCUUAAU